UGCUGCGCAGAUUCACAUUGGGGAAGUGAUAAACAGUUCGCUAUUAGGGAGCCAGUAUAUUUCUGGACUUCACUAAACCCACGAGGAACGUGAGUUUUGCUUCCUUCGACUGCAAAGCAUUUGCUAGGCCAGUACAGACUUCCUGGUGUGAUUCGUGUUCUGUGCUGCGUGCCGAGAAUGUGUAAGCGUUUUGCUCCCGUCUGCAAGAACACUUGAGCAUGCAGUUCCAAUGUUUCAAACCACAAUUUUCCGAAAGGCGAAAGAGAAGUCUAUUGACUGCAACAAUCGGUUACAACUCCGACUGGGUGCCACCUUCGAAAGGAGCGCUUUGAUCUGUUCAUCUGGCUCAUACGAAUGUUACGGAAGCAAUGCGCAACUUGUUUCACAAGAAGCCGAAGAUGUCUCGUCCUGGAUGCUGUGCCAACCUUAUCUGCAGCAGGAGAUUGCAGGGGCAGGACUAGGUAGCAGAUAAAGGCAUGCUGGCACAACCGAAAAGCUUGCACUCCACGUCUCAACUAUCACCGUCUGGGUUUCAAGCUGAAGGCUGCCACCAGUGCCAACCAGACGCCCCUUCAAAGUUCAUCUGUUUUUGUUGACGGAACAGUGACACCUGAGCGCUCGAGGACAGUUCAAGCAGUUUCAUGUGUGCAACAGCACAUACUUUUUCUCAGUUUUGACUAAGGUAAAUCGAAAUCUUCCAGUUGAUGUCUUUUGGUCAUAAAUUAUGUUUUUCGAGACAUUCAAACAGCAUCAUGUGUGCAACAGUGUAUACUUUUUCUGAGGUGAAGUAAGGUAAAUCUGUCCGCCGUGGUGUUCUGGCAGUGCAGCAGAAGCUUGUGUUGCAUUCAAGUGGUAUCAUGUAUACAAAAACUUGUUUUAUGCCUUUCUGUAGCUGCUGUACUAAUAUUGCGAGUACAGAGACAUUCCUGCAGAACAUAUCGGAGCAUCAUGUAUGCUAUUGUUUGUAUCAUCUGCAGCAGUAUAUUGAUAAUGUUAAUUAUUCAAUGACUUCAGCUAACAUUUACAUUCUUACUUCCAGGUAAACCUGUCACGCAGAUGCCCUACCCCUUGGUAUGCAUAGUUCAAGAUUGUACCGAAACAAUCCACCUGGAGCAUUAUUCUUCAAUUGGCAGUGGCAUUACUAUCACAACACACCACAUACUGCAUGUUUAUGGUGCGUGCACAAUGCAUCAAACCUAUUCUCAGGUACAGGCCAGCUGGUACGCAAUUACAACAUGAAACAACUGACACAGAGACCGUAAAGUCAUGCCUUUUCCUCCGCGCCUCGGGUUUCAUGUUAUUAUCCUCACAUGCAGCUCAAUUCGCCUGUGCUGUGCAGCAUGAGCAAAAGCAUAUAUUGUUUGUGGUCACAUGACACGGAACAUAAAUACAGUGAAACCUUCGUAUGUUGGACACCCGCGGUGCAGCCGAAGCGUCUCCUACGUAUAGAGGUGUCCGAUUUACAGAAUAUGACGGCAACAAAAAAUGGAAGAGAUCACAGCUGUGAGAAAUGUCCCCCUUCUUCAAUUUAAGGUCCUUAGUGGUACCUGGUGGUGGUGCCUGGUAGUGGUACCUCUACCCACUCUUGACUGAUAAUUAUUACUGAUUUUAGUAUAUUCAAUUCCGUUCAGAUUCUACUCAAUGGCAUUACCUCUGGAGCUUUUCGAGCAGCAAGGACUUGUCUCUGAAGCGUCAGCCCACUUCUGAUAGCUUUGGUGCAGUGCUCGUUCAAAGGCUCUAGACAAACUGAAGACAAGUGCUCACAUAAAGAAUUACAAUGUAGACUGACAGCACUUGUUUUUGGACUCUAAAAACUAAAGCAACAAAAUGCUGUGACCAGUAUAGGGAAAAAAGGGGCAAAAGUCAAGGCCACUUGCUCAUUUUGGGUCUUUUUGGUGCAAAGAUGGGCCGAUAUUGAGGUAAUUUGGCCAGGGUUUUGUCCGACUUUGCAGGGAAAACCCUAUCCUACUUCCAAGAUAGGGAGGUGUCCGACAUAGAGAAUUUCGUCCCCAUGUAGUUUCAAUGGGAGCCUGCCCGUGCAAUGAAAUCAUGGGGAGUUGUCCGAGGUAGGGAGGUGUCCGACUUUGGAGGUUUUACUGUACUAUAGAGCAUUCUACAUCAUGUAAUCUAACAGUUGUUCACGUUUGGAUAUUUUCACCAUGGAAUUUACCCUGCAUGCACCAUACCAUGUCCAAACACUAACAACUGCUAGAGAGCAGCAUGUACUGUUUCCGUAUAGCACUUAUGGCUUGCGUCCUGUGAUCGGGAACAGUGAUGUCUUUUUUCUGCUACAAUCAGUAAACUACAGUAAAGAUUUAGAAAUACUGUGUCAUACCAUAAAGCACUAUGGGAAAUGGCAGUUUGAAAAACUGGAGAAGACUGUCAUUAGAAUGGGGGACAUGUUCUACGGUGAAAUUUUUUAGUGUGUGUGCUGUACCACGUAUGUACUGCAGGCAUACCACAGUAUGGUAACGCUCUGAAUACUAAUUUGCUCAAAAAAGGAAUGUGUGUGUUUCUUGUACUAACUUCCCCUUACGCAAGGUUGUAGAAAAAUGUUUUCAGCUAAUGGGGAGGGAGAGGACAUCAUUCUGGAGUCUCGUUGACCUACAGUGUGUCGUGUGUGAAGGCCAUUUUGAAGAGUGUAGGUGGUAAAAGACUGUGUUCCCCCAUUCUUGGCAGUUGGCCAGGACAUUCUUGGACCACAUUUGUUGCUUCAUAUAUUUGUGUCAUGGCAAAGUAUGUAGAGAUACAUCUGUCUCAACAUGCAGGUGCGAAAACUGCUUUUUCUGCCUAAAACAUGACAAAUAGUUGUCUGUUCAACACCACUAAUCAUGUGCCGGCCUCCAUGACCUGUCUGUGACAUUCCAAAGUGAUUAACAUGUCCCAUAGAUGUGUGCAAUGCUGAAGAUGAUUGUGUAUCUUCUAUGGAUUCUUGUUUCAAGAAAAGUACUGUGUGAUUUGCUAACAGCACCUAGCUGUACCUUCACAAUUCUACAUAAAAAUAUGUCAAGUUUCCGGAAGGAAACAUCAUGAAGGUCCAUAGCGAAAAACCCUGAGACGAGGGAUAGGAAGGGACAUACACAAUGUCUCAACAUAGCGUGUUUAUGUCCCUUCUUGUAUCUCCUCUUCAGGUUUCGCCAUCAUGGUCACUAUCACCAGCUCGCUUGCUGUUGAACCGUUCUUUCAACGAUAAGGGUCACUUUCAUGGACUGGAUGGCAGCCAACAUGCUGUCAAUAAAAAGAAUAAUGGAAGGAGCUAAAUAUGAUCCUUAGGCCUGCGUGGUCAUUGCUUUCUGACAAAUGGUGACUUAGAAUUUCAGGACAGUGCCUGCAGUGGUAGUAUUCUUGUGUUCUCACCCUUGACGCCCAUUGUGUGUCAUCGGUCACCUGUAAUCUGCUAAUAUGCACAUAGCUAAAACAAAGUAUAUUUCUAUUUCUUUGAAUACAGUUGGUACAGCACAUUGUUUUUUACAUGUUCUAUAGAAAAUAUAAAUAAAAAAUUCCCUACUC
Long non-coding RNA from Ornithodoros turicata, 3510 nucleotides. RefSeq lists it as uncharacterized. The record is from RefSeq and is a predicted model, not a curated record. Lineage: Eukaryota; Metazoa; Arthropoda; Arachnida; Ixodida; Argasidae. The transcript is spliced from 3 exons.